GUGCUCGCUCCGGCAGCACAUAUGCUACAACUGGAACGGCACAGAGAAGAUUUAGCAUGGCCCCUGCACAAAGAUGGCAUGCGAAUUCAUGAAGCGCUCCUUAUUUUU
Molecule: small nuclear RNA, 108 nt
Filed under: Catagonus wagneri (Chacoan peccary)
Lineage: Eukaryota; Metazoa; Chordata; Mammalia; Artiodactyla; Tayassuidae
Source: RNAcentral